AACCCUUGUGGAGGAGGACGCCGAAGGUGGGGCUAAUGACUGGGGUGAAGUCGUAACAAGGUAGCCGUACCGGAAGGUGCGGCUGGAUCACCUCCUAACAGGGAGACAACAAAAUGUUUAAUAUUAUUAUUUUGUCACCUUAGGUCGAUCGGUAUCUCACAUUCUUAAUUUAUUAAGAAUUUCAUUUCCUAAGUUUUUCUAGGUCACACCCAUUAUUUUUCCUGGGCCAUUAGCUCAGGUGGUUAGAGCGCACCCCUGAUAAGGGUGAGGUCCCUGGUUCAAGUCCAGGAUGGCCCAUAUCUCUAUGUUGGGGGUAUAGCUCAGUUGGUAGAGCGCCUGCUUUGCAAGCAGGAUGUCAGCGGUUCGAGUCCGCUUACCUCCACUGAUUACCACCUCUUCCAUAAUUUGAAGAAAGGAAAUUUUUUGAGUUGUGAUCAAAUUCUGAACGAAUCUAGCUUCCUAAUGAAUCUAUUAAGAUGCUGGACUCAUUGAAUUAAUUUUCAUUGUUUUCAGAGAACCUUGACAACUGCAUAGAUUAUUUUAAAGACAAUAAGCAUCUUUGAUGAUGCAGAUUUAUUAUUUGUGCGAAUGCAUUAAUAACAAUUCUAUUAAGCUGAUGCUUCAAUUUAAUGAAGUUAUUGGUCAAGCUACAAAGGGCUCACGGAGGAUACCUAGGCACACA
This 682-nucleotide unclassified non-coding RNA is filed under the name uncultured Prochlorococcus sp. Its description in RNAcentral is "partial may contain 16S ribosomal RNA, 16S-23S ribosomal RNA intergenic spacer, and 23S ribosomal RNA". The stretch from base 1 to 98 matches the Rfam family "Bacterial small subunit ribosomal RNA", at positions 1437 to 1533 of the family's 1533-position model. The record is from RNAcentral. Lineage: Bacteria; Bacillati; Cyanobacteriota; Cyanophyceae; Synechococcales; Prochlorococcaceae.